RNAcentral lists this ribosomal RNA (253 nucleotides) under uncultured bacterium. Its description in RNAcentral is "partial 16S ribosomal RNA". It matches the Rfam family "Bacterial small subunit ribosomal RNA", at positions 524 to 776 of the family's 1533-position model. The record is from RNAcentral.
UACGUAGGUGGCAAGCGUUGUCCGGAAUCAUUGGGCGUAAAGAGCGUGUAGGCGGCUCGAUAAGUCCGCUGUGAAAGUCCAGGGCUCAACCCUGGGAUGCCGGUGGAUACUGUCGGGCUCGAGUCCGGAAGAGGCGAGUGGAAUUCCUGGUGUAGCGGUGAAAUGCGCAGAUAUCAGGAGGAACACCAAUGGCGAAGGCAGCUCGCUGGGACGUGACUGACGCUGAGACGCGAAAGCGUGGGGAGCAAACAGG